Molecule: long non-coding RNA, 549 nt
Filed under: Nicotiana benthamiana
Lineage: Eukaryota; Viridiplantae; Streptophyta; Magnoliopsida; Solanales; Solanaceae
Description: long non-coding RNA (NBEN_LNC028763)
Source: RNAcentral
UCACUAAUAGCCAUUGGCCUUAUUACAUUCAAAGAAAAAGAUCAUAACUAUUUGGUCCUAGAAGGACCUUCCCCAGACUCGGCAUCUUUGGCUCCAUCGAACAGCUUCACCAGCUCAUGAAGUCCUAGCAUCAAGUAGGCUCUAGCCAGGUGUCCACCUUUGUUUCCCUCAGCAUUCUAGCAAUCUUCGAUCCUCUGGAUGAACUUACUCUCUAGCUCCACUAAAACCCGCUCCUAAUCUCCCAGUCGCUUGUUGGUGCUGACAACCAUGUUUUCCAUUCUUCAAUAGCUUUUGAUGGGCUUCUUGAAUUUCCCGGUGCUCACUUUCGCAUUCCUGAAUCCUCUUGUGCAAUUGGUUUUACUUAACCUAUACUUCAACCUUUAUGUUGAUGAUCCUGUGACCUUGAACAAACCCAGGUUGUCCUAACCGAUUAUGAUCGUCCUCCAACCAGCUUGGAUAGUAUGGAGUACAACCAGCAUGGUACCUAUAUAGCUCAAUAGUAUCUCUUCCCUUGAUGAUUUUGCAGUGGCACUUGUGCUGGGAUUUGCA